UCAUCAGUAUGGUGUAAUCCUUACCUGUGGAUGACUAAUGUCAUCCUCAGUAAGGUAUGUGAUGACAUGGAGCUGAAUGAUCUAUAUGAUUAUACGCUCUGGGCCUAAAGGUCUACAACACCCUUUAUGGUCUAAGUCUGAU
This is a small nucleolar RNA of Hydractinia symbiolongicarpus, 142 nucleotides long. RefSeq annotates it as U8 small nucleolar RNA. Lineage: Eukaryota; Metazoa; Cnidaria; Hydrozoa; Anthoathecata; Hydractiniidae. The transcript has a single exon. The record is from RefSeq and is a predicted model, not a curated record.